Molecule: long non-coding RNA, 225 nt
Organism: Sander lucioperca (pikeperch)
Lineage: Eukaryota; Metazoa; Chordata; Actinopteri; Perciformes; Percidae
Exons: 3
Source: RefSeq, a predicted model, not a curated record
UUACUCUGUGGUGGGCUCUGACAUCCUGGUUAACAUUUAGGUGUAACAUUUAAUAUUUGGCUUUAACUAUUUAAAAUAUCUCUAAGUUGACAAAUAUUGUUGUAAAUGUGCAAAAAAGUGACCCUCAAAAAUUCUUACCAGUUUUUUAAACAUUGUUUGAAGCUAAAUGUGACAAAAUGUUGCUGUUAUUUUCAGCGUGAGCCGCUUUACAAACGGCACCCCAUA